AAAAGACUCACUUUGCCAAAUUAAAAAAUGGACUCAUUUAAGAGAUAAAAAAUUUGUCCAAAUAGUUAAGUGUAUAUAAUAGACUUUAAGAUUUUAGCCAGAGAGACAAUAAAAAAUAUAAGAUAUGUCAGUAAACAAAUGCUUAACAAACAAACAGGACAAAGAGACCUAGAGAGUUUAACGAAAAGUUGAAGUGAACUUCACUGAGAUAAAACCAGAAAAAUAUAAUCACAAGUAUCUCCUAGUGCUUGUAGAUACUUUUUCAGGAAUAGAUAGAAGCUUUCCUCACCAAACGAGAGACGGCCUCUACAAUCAUCAAGAAGAUACUGAAAGAAAUCUUCCCCAGGUCUGGAAUGCCCAAGGUAAUCUGGUCAGACAACGGUCCUACUUUCGUUGCCAAGGUAAGCCAGGGUGUGGCCAAAUAUUUAGAGGUCGAUUAGAAAUUACAUUGUAUUUACAGACCUCAAAGCUUAAGACAGGUAGAAUAAAUAAAUAGAACUCUAAAAGAGACCCUGACCAAAUUGACCAUGGAGACUGGCACAGACUGGGUGACACUCCUUCCCUCUUGCUCUCUUCAGAGCAAGAAAUACCCCUUCCAGACUCAGCUUUACCCCCUUUGAGAUCUUAUAUGGGGCCUCAGCUCCCCUGACUGUAUUAGAUGAUGUUACUGAACCAACAUGUCAUAGUAAUAAUGAUUUGUGUGCCAGGCUAAAAGACCUACAGGUGAUACAGAAAGAAAUCUGCUCACAGCUGACAGCAGCCUAUGCCCCGGAGACCCCUGAGACAUCCCAUCAGUUCCAGGUCGGAAACAGCUACACUGAGCCCAGACACUCGAGCCUCGCUGGAAAGGACCGUACCUGGUGCUGCUGACCACCCUGACAGCCGUCAAUUCUCAGCCCUCACCAGCCGUGUACUAGCUGUUAGGGCUGAGAGCUGGGACCUAGAGGGAAAUUCAGUCAUGUUUGUCCUGGGUUCCAUCGAGAUAGGUGUGGGGAUAGGCUUGAUUUCUAUUACAAAUGAUGUAACAUUACAUAUGUUAAUACUCCUAACACUUCUUGGGACUGUGCCUCAGGGAUCACUACCUAUAUAAGUUUAGAAGUUCUGAAAGACAGUCAUGACCUUGGUGUAUAGGUUUAGAUAGUGUCCAGAUAGAAUCCUGAUGCCAAAGACUUUUUAGCUGACCUCCAAGAAUACCUAACCUCCCUCUCAGAGGUAGUCCUUCAAAAUAAGAAAAGAUUAGACCUGAUAUUCCUUAAAGAAGGAGUCUGUGUACUAUACUGAAAGAAAAAUGUUGCUUCUAUACAGACCAUUCAGGAGUAAUUAAAGACUCCAUAAAUAAACUUAGAGAAAGGUUAGACAAAAGACAGACAGAAAAACACAUCAGAGAUGGUUCGAGAGCUAGUUUAGUAGAUCUCCCUAGAUGACUACCCUACUCUCUGCUACAGCUGGGCCAUUAUUAAUAAUUUUCUUGGUUUUAGUUUUUGGCUCCUGCGUGACAAACAAGUUAAUUGCUUUUGUUAAAAAUCGAGUGGGUGCUGUGCGGUUGAUGUCCUGAGACAACAGUACCAGUCAGUUAAGACAACUGGUGAGACCAAAUACGAGACUUGAUAUCAAAAUUCUAAGAUUAGAAUUAUUUAGUAGGAGAAGACGGGAAAAAAUUAAAAAAAUAAACCCCAAAAGGCCACAGACCCAGGGCUAAGCCCUGCAGCCAAGACUAGCAGGCCAUAAAGAUAAAGGAACACAGGAAACACUGU
RNAcentral lists this long non-coding RNA (1754 nucleotides) under Rattus norvegicus (Norway rat). Its description in RNAcentral is "long non-coding RNA NONRATT000814". Lineage: Eukaryota; Metazoa; Chordata; Mammalia; Rodentia; Muridae. The record is from RNAcentral.